Molecule: ribosomal RNA, 495 nt
Filed under: uncultured bacterium
Lineage: Bacteria
Description: partial 16S ribosomal RNA
Rfam family: Bacterial small subunit ribosomal RNA
Source: RNAcentral
GACGAACGCUGGCGGCGUGCCUAAUACAUGCAAGUAGAACGCUGAAGGAGGAGCUUGCUUCUCUGGAUGAGUUGCGAACGGGUGAGUAACGCGUAGGUAACCUGCCUGGUAGCGGGGGAUAACUAUUGGAAACGAUAGCUAAUACCGCAUAAUAGUAGAUGUUGCAUGACAUUUGCUUAAAAGGUGCAAUUGCAUCACUACCAGAUGGACCUGCGUUGUAUUAGCUAGUUGGUGGGGUAACGGCUCACCAAGGCGACGAUACAUAGCCGACCUGAGAGGGGGAUCGGCCACACUGGGACUGAGACACGGCCCAGACUCCUACGGGAGGCAGCAGUAGGGAAUCUUCGGCAAUAGACGGAAGUCUGACCGAGCAACGCCGCGUGAGUGAAGAAGGGUUUCGGAUCGUAAAGCUCGGUUGUAAGAGAAGAACGAGUGUGAGAGUGGAAAGUUCACACUGUGACGGUAGCUUACCAGAAAGGGACGGCUAACUACGUG